UACUCGUCCAUGACAUUAGACAUAUUUCUUCUUCAUUCUCUCUUUCUCCUUAGAGUUACAGACCUUGGGCGUUUCUGUCGUUGUAGUUUUUGCCUUAUCAAUAGCUUUAAAGACUAUUAGUAGUAUCCUUAGGGAGAUUUACAGGAAGCUGUUUCUGAUGACCAGCACGUACACUUCAUUUUCAUUCUACCACCCUCAGAGCGCUGGAUCUCAAUGUUGGACAAGAUCUCAGAGCUCUGCAAAUCUAAUCCCCGCUGAGUAGGAAUGGCUUCUGUAAUCCUCUGUCACGUCACCCCUGCUUGGACAACCAGCUCCCGAGAGCUCGUGGUAUGCAGCUGAAAUGCACUGCUGGAUGAUGUCGCGACUGCGGCCUACGCCCACCAGCCCGCAAGCUAAUUUUCCCUCCCAAAGCCGCAACCAACAAGGCCUAAUCCCUGUUCCAUAUGGCGACCCUUAAGAGGCCUGAAAUACUGAAGCAUGUUUGCUUGAAGUUAUUUCCUCCUUUCUAUCAAAAAUAUUUUCUCUCCCCCCUCCUUUCUCUUUCUCUUAAGCACAUGAAGUUUUGUCUCCCAACGCAAGAGGUUUCCUUUGACAUUAAUUUCUCCUUCAGUAGUCAACACUCACAUUCCUUAGAGAGAAGGGUUUUUUAAUGGAAUUAAUUCCUCCUUCCCCUCAGAAAUGUUUUCUCUCACUGCUUGGGCUUUAAAUCUUUAAAGACAUUAGACAUUAGACAUGUAUUCUAAAAGCUGAAAAUGCCCAGUGAAGAGCAAGAAUGGAUUAUUUAGAGAAGAGAAUGUACCUGGAGCUACUGCUACCUAUGACAUCACAGAACUCUCUCCUUGUUUCUUUUUCUGAGUUAACCAUAAAGACCUGAGGUUUUGUUCUCAUGUCUAAGAAUGAAGCUCUUUUUCUUCUUUACUAGACCAACCUUAAAUAAGAGAAAGCACCUUAGAGAAAGGGUUUUUGCAUGAAGUUUUUCUACCUAGUCCAUAUAAAUUCUUUUUUACAAAUUCUUUUUUUAACCUUACAAAAUUUUUUUAGGGGCUUCCCUGGUGGCGCAGUGGUUGAGAGUCUGCCUGCCGAUGCAGGGGACACGGGUUCGUGCCCCGGUCCAGGAAGAUCCCACAUGCCGCAGAGUGGCUAGGCCCGUAAAAAAAAAAAAAAUUUUUAACCUUACAAAUUCUUUUUUUAACCUUAAUUUUAAUCCUGCAUCUCUGUUUUCUUAUCUGAAAAAUUUUUGAAUAUAUUUUCUUCCACUCCCCAGUCUUAAAGAUCAGGGAUGCAAGAGUCUGUUUGUUUCCGUUACCAAAGUAUUGCUUUCCACACCUUAGCCUUAUAGAUCUGUGGAUUUGUUAUCUCUUUUAAUGAAGGGACAAAAGUUACAAACUGGCAACUUAGAGAAAAAGAGAUACAACUGGGACCAAUGAUCAGGUUGGCAAAAGCAGCUCCCCACCCCCUUGCUAAAGAAGAACAGCC
Molecule: long non-coding RNA, 1476 nt
Organism: Physeter macrocephalus (sperm whale)
Lineage: Eukaryota; Metazoa; Chordata; Mammalia; Artiodactyla; Physeteridae
Exons: 3
Source: RefSeq, a predicted model, not a curated record